This is a long non-coding RNA of Entelurus aequoreus (snake pipefish), 664 nucleotides long. RefSeq lists it as uncharacterized. NCBI's taxonomy places the organism in Eukaryota, Metazoa, Chordata, Actinopteri, Syngnathiformes, Syngnathidae. The transcript is spliced from 3 exons. The record is from RefSeq and is a predicted model, not a curated record.
CAGGAUGUCCAGAGCAACUGUGAGUGGCUUCAUUAUGGCACAAUAGUCCUUCAGAAAAUGAAGUUCCCCGUCACUGAUACAUUUGAGCUGUAAUCGAUCAGAUAUGGCACUCAAGUCAGUCAUAGCGGUGUUGAGAAUCUCUGCAACGUCAGUGAAGAUGACCUCUUCAUCAUCAUUAUUAUCAUCAUCUUCAGGGAGUGUCACACCACGGUGAGGGAUGUCUUGUCUUGGUUUUUUCUGUCUUGUGAUUUGCAUGUUUUAGUUUGAAAAAGUAACUUUCCUCUCGUUUCAGGUCACUUGCCCUUCCUUUUGUGUCAUCAGUCUGACGUCAUCCCUGUUCCCUGAUUGUUUCCACCUGUUCCCUAUUACCCUCAUGUGUCUUAUAAGCCCACUCCUCCCUUUGUUCUGUGCCAGAUUGUCUCGUUCAUUCGUACUAUCUAGCGUCCAUGCCCAUGUCCAUGCCUUGCCUUGUCUCCUGCUUAUGUUCCUUGUUCUUGAGUCCCUUUGUGGCUAUUUUGAGUUUUCCUUUCUUCCUCCUCAGCAGAGUGAUUUUUUGUUAUUGACUUUAUUCAGCCGAAGUGACCACAGCAAACGUUACCCAGCUUGCAAAAUCCCUUAGAAGAAGACAGCCUGCUGUUUCCUUAAACUUGGACACACACAUCUA